RNAcentral lists this ribosomal RNA (750 nucleotides) under uncultured bacterium. RNAcentral describes it as "bacterial SSU rRNA". It matches the Rfam family "Bacterial small subunit ribosomal RNA", at positions 43 to 788 of the family's 1533-position model. The record is from RNAcentral.
AGAGCCAANUACUGCAGUCGAACGAGAGACCUUCGGGUCUCUAGUGGCGAACGGGUGAGUAACACGUAGGGAACCCGCCCGCGCACCGGGAAUACGCUCUGGAAACGGAGAACAAAUCCCGAUGUACAGGAAGGAGGCAUCUUCUUUCUGUGAAACAUCCUUUAGGGGAUGGGGCGCGGAUGGACCUGCGGUGCAUUAGUUGGUUGGCGGGGUAAAGGCCCACCAAGACGAUGAUGCAUAGCCGGCCUGAGAGGGCGGACGGCCACAUUGGGACUGAGACACGGCCCAGACUCCUGCGGGAGGCAGCAGUAGGGAAUUUUCGUCAAUGGGCGCAAGCCUGAACGAGCGAUGCCGCGUGAGUGAAGAAGGCCUUCGGGUCGUAAAGCUCUGUUGCGGGGGAAAAAAGGCAGCAUCAGGAAAUGGGUGCUGACUGAUGGUGCCCCGCCAGAAAGUCACGGCUAACUACGUGCCAGCAGCCGCGGUAAUACGUAGGUGGCGAGCGUUAUCCGGAAUGAUUGGGCGUAAAGGGUGCGCAGGCGGUCCUGCAAGUCUGGAGUGAAACGCAUGAGCUCAACUCAUGCAUGGCUUUGGAAACUGGAGGACUGGAGAGCAGGAGAGGGCGGUGGAACUCCAUGUGUANCGGUAAAAUGCGUAGAUAUAUGGAAGAACACCAGUGGCGAAGGCGGCCGCCUGGCCUGUUGCUGACGCUGAAGGACGAAAGCGGGGGAAACAAAUAGGAAUAAAUACCCU